CUCCGUCCUUCUUUGAGCAGGUCGGCGUAGGUCAUCUUCUUCCUCUUGACCUCCGAUUGGCCGGCUGUCUCCGACUCUGCCGUUUGUGUGUUUGGGCCCUCAUUGCGGUCGCCUUACUUCCUCCACCUCUUCUUCUUGCUUUUGCUGCACGUCAGCAGUUGGCUCUGUCAACUCUGUGACAGCAAACGUAAGGAAGCUGAAAACGAUGACAUUUCAUGUUAGUCACGCAAUUAACCUGCACACGAGUCUUCAUCUUUCUGCGUUUGCCGCUCAUCAGCCGUUUGCUCCGUCGACUCUGACAAACAAAAAAAUAGAAAUGUUGCAUCUCGUUAUUUUCAGGUUUUACCAUUACAGCUGUGCAGCCAAAUUAACCUGCACGUGGUUCUUCUGGUUUUUCUUCUUCUACGAAGCGUUCUACCUCUUCUUCCUCCUUCUUCUCCCCUUCCUGGUCCUGGUCAUCUCCCUCGCUGGGUACAACGUCGACAAAAUCCAUCAUGCCGAUUUCAACAGCACCAAAGAAGAAACUUAAAUCUAUCAUCGCGUCAAAGAAAGGCUGACCUGAUAAAGCACAACACCUGCAAGUUCCUGAUGGAGGAGAAGUCUGCAUUUGACAGACAGAUCGGCUCCUCCCGGUCUUGCACCAGACUGGACCAAUCCUGUACCUCAUCGUCCUGCAGCUGCUCCUGAAGGAGAAAAAAAUACAACCCGGAACCCAAACACAUGGGGUGAACUUUCCCGUGUAUCGCAGCAAACAACCAACGAGGAAACGGCGAGGACUCACCUGAUGUUCCUUGAGCCACGUCAGCAAAGAGUUAAAAGUGAAGCUAGCCCACUUGGAUGCGUAGUAACUCCUCCUAAAACGCGAGUGCAGAUAUCCUCUCAGCGUGCGUGUGAAGAGGUAUAGGACAUUUGUAAACUCACGUGUCCAGGUGAAGAACUCUUUGUCCCACUCGCGAACAAGCUGCCGCCACCACCGACUCCGUGAGACCUUGGACAACCGAACGGGAGGCCGCGAUUAGAAAGCUUUGUGUCCAAUUGUUUCGACCGCUCUAAUUGGUUUUACUACUUUUCCAAUUGGCGAUAUCAAGUUUUUAAAAAAUACAAAUUGAGAAGCUGGCAUUGGACAAAACUUCGAGGACUUGGCCCAAAUCCAUGUGUCAGAAUGAUUGUGACGCUUCCAACAGAACGUGAUGUUGAUUUCA
Molecule: long non-coding RNA, 1202 nt
Organism: Syngnathus acus (greater pipefish)
Lineage: Eukaryota; Metazoa; Chordata; Actinopteri; Syngnathiformes; Syngnathidae
Exons: 2
Source: RefSeq, a predicted model, not a curated record